GAUGAACGCUGGCGGCGUGCCUAAUACAUGCAAGUCGAGCGAACAGACGAGGAUCUUGCUCCUCUGACGUUAGCGGCGGACGGGUGAGUAACACGUGGAUAACCUACCUAUAAGACUGGGAUAACUUCGGGAAACCGGAGCUAAUACCGGAUAAUAUAUUUAACCUCAUGGUUCAAUAGUGAAAGACGGUUUUGCUGUCACUUAUAGAUGGAUCCGCGCCGCAUUAGCUAGUUGGUAAGGUAACGGCUUACCAAGGCAACGAUGCGUAGCCGACCUGAGAGGGUGAUCGGCCACCCUGGAACUGAGACACGGUCCAGACUCCUACGGGAGGCAGCAGUAGGGAAUCUUCCGCAAUGGGCGAAAGCUUGACGGAGCAACGCCGGGGGAGUGAUGAAGGUCUUCGGAUCGUAAAACUCUGUUAGUAGGGAAGAACAAAUGUGUAAGUAACUAUGCACGUCUUGACGGUACCUAAUCAGAAAGCCACGGCUAACUACGUG
Molecule: ribosomal RNA, 497 nt
Filed under: uncultured bacterium
Lineage: Bacteria
Description: partial 16S ribosomal RNA
Rfam family: Bacterial small subunit ribosomal RNA
Source: RNAcentral